Molecule: ribosomal RNA, 164 nt
Filed under: uncultured bacterium
Lineage: Bacteria
Description: partial 16S ribosomal RNA
Rfam family: Bacterial small subunit ribosomal RNA
Source: RNAcentral
UGGGGAAUAUUGGACAAUGGGCGAAAGCCUGAUCCAGCCAUGCCGCGUGUGUGAAGAAGGUCUUCGGAUUGUAAAGCACUUUAAGUUGGGAGGAAGGGCAGUAAGCUAAUACCUUGCUGUUUUGACGUUACCGACAGAAUAAGCACCGGCUAACUCUGUGCCAG